Dermacentor albipictus is the source of this 1010-nucleotide non-coding RNA. NCBI's taxonomy places the organism in Eukaryota, Metazoa, Arthropoda, Arachnida, Ixodida, Ixodidae. The record is from RefSeq and is a predicted model, not a curated record.
GAAGAACGCCGCCAUACUUGUGAAAGGUUCCGCGUUUGCGCUUGCUUGACGUCGUCGAUGUAUCAAGCUGCUGAUAACCUGCGCAGUUCUGAGGCGCUUCAAGCCGCCCCAAGCCCACAAGGUGCAAAAGAGGGCGACGUCGCCGCGACCGAGGCUCCGUUUACGUCGCCUGCUUUUUCCGGCAGCGCGGUAGCGAAGACGGAGUGUGUUGAACUCCAGCGGGACAAGAAGUGCUCUACGGGUCAAAACGAACAGUGAACUAAACCUUGGAACUAUGGGCGUACUAAUGGCCAAGACACUGGUGCUAGCGAGAACUCCUGAGGAAAACGGCAGCUUUUGGAACACCGCCACGCGUAGGAAAUUCAAGCAAGGAACCAGGUGCAUCUUCAACGCACACAGAUCGGAUGCUUGCCCAACAACGCAGCAAGAUGGUGAACGUCAGCGCCGCCGAAUGGGACGAGACGAGGGCAUCGACGCUCUUUGCCUGGAGCCUGUCCGUGCAGCUGGCGCUGGGGUCCUGGCUGGCAGUCCACCACCAGCGGGCGCUUAUGGGAGACAUCAGUCAAAAAAAGGCCGCCCAGCGAACCCUGAUGCGGCGCUUCUGUCUGCUUUCGUGCGGUGCUGCUGAGGAGAGCGAGCAAAUGGCUGCUCGCGCCCGGUGUCUCGUGCCUCUGGUCGGCCUCUACGAGUUCGCCGAGGCCUUUGGCCGCCCAAAGGGCUCUGCCAUGAAUCCGACGGUCAGCUGCAACAGUGACAACCCACUGACUACAGUCGAUGCCACCUAGUCCUGGAGGAGUGUGCACUUCCUUUAGACGUUAGGCACGUCAUUUAACAGCGGAUUUUAGUUAAUUGAGGAGUGACUCGUUGCAUCUAGUAUAUAAGAGCCAAGGUUCAUUGAUGACUAAGACUUCAGGACAGUUUAUAUCCGAGCAUACUUAAUAUACUUUAAAUGCGAUUGUUAAGCGGGCUCUGAGAAAUAGUGUUGCGCCGAUGUAUAAACCAAUCGAUUA